Non-coding RNA from Ictidomys tridecemlineatus (thirteen-lined ground squirrel), 1474 nucleotides. Lineage: Eukaryota; Metazoa; Chordata; Mammalia; Rodentia; Sciuridae. The record is from RefSeq and is a predicted model, not a curated record.
GUUGCUUAGGGCCUCUUCAAAUUGCUGAGGCUGGCUUUAAAUUCACAAUCCUCCUGCCUCAGCCUCCCGAGCCACUGAGAUUAAAGAUGUGCGCCACUGCUCCUGGCUUGUUCGAAGUUCUUUACAGAGAACAUGGUUUUUGUAAAGGAGGGAGAAGGGAAGGAUGUUUUGUGCUGGUCUACAACAUUUUCAUUGGCAGUGUGUUUUCCCUCUCUCGUAGGCACAAAUAAGAACUACCUGGGAUUCAACAGAGGAUUUUAAAACUCUGGAGGUCGGUACCAUUUGAUGUUUGGAUGUGGUCCACAAGGUGAAGGAGGAGCUCCAUGGAUCCACAGCCUCAUUACCCUUCCACUGUUAAAUGACCGAGAACAUAAAGCCAUUCCCCAGGACUGGCCAAACACUGACCAGCACAGAGUCCCUAGACGUCGGGCAGUGGAGAGGAGUGACCUCACUGGAUGGUGCACUUGCCCCGUACUUGAUCAUCUGAUCUUCAGGACCACACUGUGAGGUAGGUAGCAGCAAACCUGUUUACAGAUGUGAACAUUUAAAACUUCAGCACAGAACAGUUGGUUCUAAACCUCAUCUAUCUCCCUCCAAAAAAACAGAGUAUUUUCACUUGUCGCUGAGAGACUCUUAUGGGGUUCCAUCCCUUCCCCCUUCUAGGGUUCCAUCCCUUGCCUGGAAGUUUCUGGAAUCUUCAAGCAUACAUAGUACCACCCUGGACCCUACUCAACCCUUCCUCCUCCUUCUGUCGCCUCUCAUGGGCAUUGCUUUUGCUAUCUACAAUGUCGUGUGUGUGUGUGUGUGUGUGUGUGUGUGUGUGUGUGUGUUGCUGGGGAUUGAACCCAGGGCCUUAUGCAUGCCUGGCUAGCACUCUACCAACUGAGCUAUAUCCCCAGCCCCUUACUCAUUCUUAAAAGUAAGAUGUGCCUUCCGUCAUUCCUAAUUUCUCUGAAUAACCUUGUUUUGGAUCUAUCUGUCCAUGAAUUGAUGAUUUAAAAGUUAAUUCUAUAUAUGAGUGUUAUCUCUGAAAAUAAGGGCAACUGUAUUACCUGCUAUUUAGACUUCUUAGAUUGAAUCUAUCAUAAAGCAGACUUGAGUAUUCCAGGGUUUCUGAGCAGGCCUGUGCUAACCUAGGCAGACCAUUGAUGGUCUCUGAAGUUUACCACAUUCUCCAUCACCCUUCCAGUGAACCACUGUGAUCUGGGUUUAUAUGCGGCCCACAUUUAUAUGACCUGCAGAAUAUCCCGAUUUAAACAGUUUGAUUGAUAUAGAGUGUACAUGCCAUAAAACUCGUCUAGAUUUAGGGACAAUUUUCAUGAGUUUUACCAAAUUUAUGCAGCUGUGCUGCCAUCACCAAAUUAGAAGACUUCCUUCACCCCAGAAAGUUCUCUCCUGCCUAUAAUCAAUGUUCACUCCCACCUCUACUGCUAGGCAAUGUUUAGCCUGUUUUCUGACCCUGAAGGGAUGCCUU